GCGCAUGAUGACGUAGAGGACGGUUGCCAGCGCCGCCAUCUUCACGCCGUCAAACAUGGCCGGCAGCUCCGAGCCCAGCGCCGUUAUGCCUUCGCCGCCGCCGCCAUCCGCCAGCGAGGCCAUCGUAGACGCUGGAGACAACACGUGAGCGGACUUGUUGAACAUUCAGCAGGCAGAUCAAUUACAUGAGAAGCGCUCCGGUCUCGGCUUCUCCGUCGUCUUUCUUUAUUCCGUCACUAAUGUCAACGUCACGGGCCUUGAACACAACACUUGACUUUAGCGAAGAAGGCGCAUUUUAAAGGACGUUUUUUUUCCCGUGGCUUUCUUCAGCGUGUGUCCCGAUUCAACUCGGUUCCACCCUCACUUGUUGCUUGUGUUUCGAGACCAGUGGCGACCAGGUCCGGAUGCGUUCAAGCCCACGCAAAAGAAGAAAGACGAAGAGAAAAAAAAACUGCGAGCUCGGAGUUUUCCCCGCCCACGCUUCCAGCUAAA
This is a long non-coding RNA of Hippocampus zosterae (dwarf seahorse), 492 nucleotides long. RefSeq lists it as uncharacterized. The transcript has 2 exons. Lineage: Eukaryota; Metazoa; Chordata; Actinopteri; Syngnathiformes; Syngnathidae. The record is from RefSeq and is a predicted model, not a curated record.